GUGGGUGUAGCUCAGCUGGUAGAGCACUGGGUUGUGGCCCCAGACGCCGAGGGUUCGAGUCCCUUCACUCACCCCA
Molecule: transfer RNA, 76 nt
Filed under: Desulfobacteraceae bacterium
Lineage: Bacteria; Pseudomonadati; Thermodesulfobacteriota; Desulfobacteria; Desulfobacterales; Desulfobacteraceae
Description: tRNA-His
Rfam family: tRNA
About the family: Transfer RNA (tRNA) molecules are approximately 80 nucleotides in length. Their secondary structure includes four short double-helical elements and three loops (D, anti-codon, and T loops).
Source: RNAcentral